RNAcentral lists this ribosomal RNA (254 nucleotides) under uncultured bacterium. RNAcentral's name for it is "partial 16S ribosomal RNA". It matches the Rfam family "Bacterial small subunit ribosomal RNA", at positions 524 to 776 of the family's 1533-position model. The record is from RNAcentral.
UACGGGGGGGGCAAGCGUUGUUCGGAAUUACUGGGCGUAAAGGGCGCGUAGGCGGCCUGCUAAGUCGGACGUGAAAUCCCUCGGCUCAACCGGGGAACUGCGUCCGAUACUGGCGAGGCUUGAAUCCGGGAGAGGGAUGUGGAAUUCCAGGUGUAGCGGUGAAAUGCGUAGAUAUCUGGAGGAACACCGGUGGCGAAGGCGGCGUUCUGGACUGCAACUGACACUGAGAAACGAAAGCCAGGGUAGCAAACGGG